RNAcentral lists this ribosomal RNA (2162 nucleotides) under Staphylococcus aureus VET0184R. Its description in RNAcentral is "bacterial LSU rRNA". It matches the Rfam family "Bacterial large subunit ribosomal RNA", at positions 3 to 2163 of the family's 2925-position model. Lineage: Bacteria; Bacillati; Bacillota; Bacilli; Caryophanales; Staphylococcaceae. The record is from RNAcentral.
UUAAGUUAUUAAGGGCGCACGGUGGAUGCCUUGGCACUAGAAGCCGAUGAAGGACGUUACUAACGACGAUAUGCUUUGGGGAGCUGUAAGUAAGCUUUGAUCCAGAGAUUUCCGAAUGGGGAAACCCAGCAUGAGUUAUGUCAUGUUAUCGAUAUGUGAAUACAUAGCAUAUCAGAAGGCACACCCGGAGAACUGAAACAUCUUAGUACCCGGAGGAAGAGAAAGAAAAUUCGAUUCCCUUAGUAGCGGCGAGCGAAACGGGAAGAGCCCAAACCAACAAGCUUGCUUGUUGGGGUUGUAGGACACUCUAUACGGAGUUACAAAGGACGACAUUAGACGAAUCAUCUGGAAAGAUGAAUCAAAGAAGGUAAUAAUCCUGUAGUCGAAAAUGUUGUCUCUCUUGAGUGGAUCCUGAGUACGACGGAGCACGUGAAAUUCCGUUGGAAUCUGGGAGGACCAUCUCCUAAGGCUAAAUACUCUCUAGUGACCGAUAGUGAACCAGUACCGUGAGGGAAAGGUGAAAAGCACCCCGGAAGGGGAGUGAAACAGAACCUGAAACCGUGUGCUUACAAGUAGUCAGAGCCUGUUAAUGGGUGAUGGCGUGCCUUUUGUAGAAUGAACCGGCGAGUUACGAUUUGAUGCAAGGUUAAGCAGUAAAUGUGGAGCCGUAGCGAAAGCGAGUCUGAAUAGGGCGUUUAGUAUUUGGUCGUAGACCCGAAACCAGGUGAUCUACCCUUGGUCAGGUUGAAGUUCAGGUAACACUGAAUGGAGGACCGAACCGACUUACGUUGAAAAGUGAGCGGAUGAACUGAGGGUAGCGGAGAAAUUCCAAUCGAACCUGGAGAUAGCUGGUUCUCUCCGAAAUAGCUUUAGGGCUAGCCUCAAGUGAUGAUUAUUGGAGGUAGAGCACUGUUUGGACGAGGGGCCCCUCUCGGGUUACCGAAUUCAGACAAACUCCGAAUGCCAAUUAAUUUAACUUGGGAGUCAGAACAUGGGUGAUAAGGUCCGUGUUCGAAAGGGAAACAGCCCAGACCACCAGCUAAGGUCCCAAAAUAUAUGUUAAGUGGAAAAGGAUGUGGCGUUGCCCAGACAACUAGGAUGUUGGCUUAGAAGCAGCCAUCAUUUAAAGAGUGCGUAAUAGCUCACUAGUCGAGUGACACUGCGCCGAAAAUGUACCGGGGCUAAACAUAUUACCGAAGCUGUGGAUUGUCCUUUGGACAAUGGUAGGAGAGCGUUCUAAGGGCGUUGAAGCAUGAUCGUAAGGACAUGUGGAGCGCUUAGAAGUGAGAAUGCCGGUGUGAGUAGCGAAAGACGGGUGAGAAUCCCGUCCACCGAUUGACUAAGGUUUCCAGAGGAAGGCUCGUCCGCUCUGGGUUAGUCGGGUCCUAAGCUGAGGCCGACAGGCGUAGGCGAUGGAUAACAGGUUGAUAUUCCUGUACCACCUAUAAUCGUUUUAAUCGAUGGGGGGACGCAGUAGGAUAGGCGAAGCGUGCGAUUGGAUUGCACGUCUAAGCAGUAAGGCUGAGUAUUAGGGAAAUCCGGUACUCAUUAAGGCUGAGCUGUGAUGGGGAGAAGACAUUGUGUCUUCGAGUCGUUGAUUUCACACUGCCGAGAAAAGCCUCUAGAUAGAAAAUAGGUGCCCGUACCGCAAACCGACACAGGUAGUCAAGAUGAGAAUUCUAAGGUGAGCGAGCGAACUCUCGUUAAGGAACUCGGCAAAAUGACCCCGUAACUUCGGGAGAAGGGGUGCUCUUUAGGGUUAACGCCCAGAAGAGCCGCAGUGAAUAGGCCCAAGCGACUGUUUAUCAAAAACACAGGUCUCUGCUAAACCGUAAGGUGAUGUAUAGGGGCUGACGCCUGCCCGGUGCUGGAAGGUUAAGAGGAGUGGUUAGCUUCUGCGAAGCUACGAAUCGAAGCCCCAGUAAACGGCGGCCGUAACUAUAACGGUCCUAAGGUAGCGAAAUUCCUUGUCGGGUAAGUUCCGACCCGCACGAAAGGCGUAACGAUUUGGGCACUGUCUCAACGAGAGACUCGGUGAAAUCAUAGUACCUGUGAAGAUGCAGGUUACCCGCGACAGGACGGAAAGACCCCGUGGAGCUUUACUGUAGCCUGAUAUUGAAAUUCGGCACAGCUUGUACAGGAUAGGUAGGAGCCUUUGAAAC